AACAAGAGUAGCCCCUUCGCAGGACCCGCCUGCCUGCAUCCAGACAGCGGCUGGGAAACGGCGAGGGGACGAGUGCUUUCCCCCAACACGCCCGGUGUCUCCUCUCCCUCCGGCCUCGGCUGGACAUCCAGAGCCCAGCCAGCAGGGAGGACGCCAGCAGCACCGCUGCUCUUGCUGCCCCCCAGGCACGGAGGACGGAUGGAGGACAUCAACCCUGGAAGGAAGAGGAGGACUGAGCCUCACACUUCUCCAGAGAGCCUUCACUGACCCAGCGGCCAGGUGACACCCCCUGCCCUGACACGUCACAUCACCCAGCACUGCAGAGAUUCUCACUCACCAGGGGCUUCUGAGAACAAGGAGGGUAAGAACCACUGCCUGCAACAGGCCGUGCUCAUGGGUAGACGGGGACACCCCCCACCCCGACCCAGCCCAUAGCGCCUCUGCCCUCCUGGGGCUCAUCAGGGCCCCAAGCCCGUAGGAAAGCAGCCCCUCCCAGGUGGCGGUUCCGAGGCACCACAGGCUGCAGGAGGCUGGGGCCGGCCAGGCAGGCAGGUGCAGCCGUGCUCUCAUCUGCAUGCCCAUCAGCACCCUGGCCGGCUCCUCAGAGUCGAGGCCCGAUGGCAGGACACAGGUCAAACGAGCUCCAUCUAUGAAAGGCCAUGGGGCCCUGGGAAGGUUACUGCGUGCACCUCAUGGCACCUCGGUUUCCUCAACUGUAAAAUGGAGGUACUCAGACUUAACUCUUGGGGUGGAUGGGAGGACUAAGGAGAUAAUACAUAUUUCCACAAGGGCCAGCUCUUUAUUAUCACUAUUACUAUUCCUUCAGUGACAAUCUGGGCCCCCGACGCAGAUGGAAGAAAACCAAGGGAUAGCGUGGCAGGCAGCAGUGACAGCAGCUUCCCCAGGCCGGCCACCAAGGCAGUGAGAAAAGCCCAACCCCGGCUCUCCACCCUCAGACACCCGCUGACGUCCCCCAGGAGCUUCAUCUGCCUGCAGCUCUGCCUUCCUGAGGACACAGCGCCCUGCCCUGGGGAGCCUGAACAAUCAAGCCAUCCAGGCCCUGCCCCCCGCUGCCCCCUAGAGCACCAGGUCAUCACCUGUGUCCACCUGGUGGACACCCACCUGAGCGGGUGCAGGAGAGCAUGCCGGGAACCGGUGAGGACAGAUGAUUGUCCCCCGCCAGCAAAGGACAUGCGAGCAGUGGACUGUGUUUCCAGACCCUCCCUUGCUGAAGACAGUUGAACAUGCCAAGAAAUGCCUACAGCCGUGGCCCCAGCACAAGCCCCCACUACUCCCCGGGACCCUCCGCCUUCUCUGGGACCCAGACAAGGGGGUGUCACCCGAGAGAACCAGUCCGGAGCUCAGAGCUCGGUCGAGGAGGGCACCGGUGUGCUGGGCUUCCCACCUCCUCCUCCAUCAGUCAUCACGUCCACGCGCCACAACUUGGGUCUAUGCCAGCACAGCGCGGGUGCUUCACACCCACGACCUUACUGAUCUUUGCCACACCUGGUACAAGACAGGAGGGUCACCACGUCACCAGCGAGGACGUAAGGCUGAGUGGAGUGAACCGCUGCAAGUCACAGCCCAGGCCUGAGCCCAGGGCCAGGGCACAAAAAAGAUCCUGAGUAGAAAAAGGAUGGGCCUGCAAAAGGAUUUUUUUGAACAAGAUAGAUGAAGACCGACCACAGAGACUUCUAACCUACGCCCCCUCCUCCUCCUUCCCUGUCUGGCAAUCAGAAUGAGGACUGUUCUGACGUUAGGCAGAGGCCAGGGUGUUCUGGCGCCAGGGGAAGGGAUGUUAAAACCAAAACACCCGGCAGCA
Long non-coding RNA from Physeter macrocephalus (sperm whale), 1822 nucleotides. RefSeq lists it as uncharacterized. The transcript has 3 exons. Lineage: Eukaryota; Metazoa; Chordata; Mammalia; Artiodactyla; Physeteridae. The record is from RefSeq and is a predicted model, not a curated record.